CUGGCAGCCUGCCCGUUUGGCAGCCUCUGCCAGAACAGUCCGUGGAGUACAGACUGCUCCCUGUCUUCUCCCAGUCUGGUCCCUGGAGAGACUCCAAUCUCCCUGCUCGAGUCCUUCCCUUUUCUGCUUAUCAUGGGGAAGGAAUAUGCGUCUAGGCGUUAAAUCGCUCGAGUGCCAGCUGGCACAGCACAGCCACAGGGCCCCAGCAGGAGCGGGCCUCAGUUCUCAGAGAGCUGCACAAAGACCAAAGCAAAUUUAUUACUGUUUUUCAGUUUACAAAUGGGAAAUCCACAACAUUGGUCAAGAAGAAAAGGCACCAUGAAUGGGAAGACCGAAGUGCAGACAACCAGCUGGAACAAGGGUGAAAAUAUAGGAGAUUACGAUCCAUUCCUGGGUGGACGGCCAGCGUUCCAUCUUCACUAACACGAUAUAGUUGAAGAGCAUCAGGUAUCCGAUAUACGCCAGCUGUAAGGAGACACAAUACAGUGCUCUGGCUGUUCAGGCCCAGGAGCCCCAGCAUCAGCCAAGGCCACUGCACAGCAGCACAGAGCAGGGUCAGCAAGCAGGACACAGACUUUAUGACAAAAGGAACUUGAAGGUGCUAAACUAACAAAAGAAUUAGAAAAGACAGUAAUACUUGAAGGAUUAUAAUAUGCAAUCUUCCUUUUGACCUGUACAUGUAUCUCUGGGGCUCUGGUGCUUCGUUUAAAUCUAUGUGUCAUGAUGCAUCAUUUCGCCUUGCAGUUACCCAUUUUUGUGUGUUUUCUUGGCUAAAAAGGGAGCCUUGGCUGUCAGUGGCGGCUCUUGCUCAGGCGUGGACCUUAGGUUCUUAAACUAGGGCAGCACAGUGGAUUUUUGCCUCACGAAUGCCAGGCAGAAUAAGUGUCUGUGAGAAGCAAAGGAAGAGGAAGACACAUGUAACACCUGUAAAUUGGUCAAACCAACAUAAAAAUAGCCCAGGCUUAAAGUGCUUCGCUUGUCAGUGCCCUGGGAGGGUCUUACCUGUUUUCAUUUCACCACUUUCCUGUCCUAAUCAAGUUAAGAUAAGAUAUUCCUUCCUGGUGUCUGCUUCAUUGAAACAACACAAGAAAAGACAACACAGUUUACAGAAAGGAAAGGGUCCGUGUGGCCUUUUGUGGACGGGUGUGGGGUUUAAUCCCCAAGAGGCUCUGGCUCGUGGGGUUGAAUCCUGAUGUGACUGGCUGAAUUGCUGGAUGUCUGGGAAGAACUCCCUAGGGUUUGGUGACUGCUCCUGGAAGAUUCAGUUGUGUCAAGGUGAGUGAAGUGCAGGGAAACUGGUGGCUCUUGCAUAAGGGGCUGAGGAGCCUUGAGAGAAGACUCACUCACCUUAAGGGAAAUGGCAGACUAGCUGGGCCUUCCUUACACAAUGCCUCAAGUCAAGUGAGGUACUCACUGGCCUUAGGGGCCUCAGGGGCUGUGAGCAGGAACCAAGAGGGAGUUUAUUAACUAAAAUCUGCUGCACUCUUCAGAGUGGUGUAGCAAAGAAUAGACACAGUGUGGGUGAAAGGAUUGAGGCCUUGAGGGGUCUGGAGGUACUGCAUGACUUUGUAGCUGGGAAGGCAGCUUAGAAGGUGGAGGAAGCUGCAGCCUUGCUGGGGGAUAUGCUGCUUUCUCUACUAAUUCUCUUAUGUUUUGGGACAGGGUCUCACUCUCGUCACCCAGGCUGGAGUGCAGUGGCAUUGUGAUCUCGGCUCAUUGUAGCAUUGACUUCCUGGGCUCAGCCACUUCACACCUUGAAUUUGAAUCCUCUCCAGAUGGAUACCUGAAAUAGGCUCUCAAAACAAGCAGGGUCUAGGAGCCAGUUGGACCCCUGCCUCCUUUCUUCUUGGACCAGAAGAGGACCCAAUCUGCUCCUAGAGAAACUUGCUACGAUGCAGAAGUGAGGUUAUAUGGAAAUGAAGUGUGUCCUACCUUUCAGAAACUUGGGAGAGUAGGAGAGACCAUUUUUGAAAAUCUGGUGAGAAAUACUCUUACAGAGAAAAACACAGCCCAAAGCACAUGGGACCUUCAAUCUGAAAUUGAAUUGUACUGUUAAGCAUGUCUGGUGAUUCAAAAGACUGGCAUACCUUAUUUCCAGUCACUUCCUCGAGGCCUGGGCUUUGUCAAUAUGUGAAGAUGAAUUUUGGAGAAUCAUGUAAACACAAUUGAACAGAUCUGGGGGAUCCAGUCUGAUGGGUUUGCUGAGGCCAAUCCAGUCAGCCACGCAGAAGUGUGCUGGACACACAGGCCCCACCACCCCCCGCCAAAGAGGCAGCCUCCCAACAAGCUGCCAAUGACAUAAGCAAAGCAGCGUGUCUCAAGUGUCUCCAAUCAUAAGAUUCGCCUGGGAAGCUGGUUAAACUAACACAGCCUCUUAGGCUCCUUCCUGAAGACUGGAUUCCAUGGGUCUAUGAUGGGGCUAGAAAUUUGCAUUUCUAACAAAACUCCCUUGUCAUCAUGGACGUUUUAGAGAUAUUGAUACUAUUAUUUCUACUGAUUUCUGCUCUCGGGAGUCUGUAAACUUUUUCUGCAAAUGGCCAACUGGUUAACUUUUAAGGCUUUGUAGAACCGAUAGUCUCUCUCUGUCUCUCACUACUCAUCAACUUGAUGUGGUAGCACAAAAGCAGUCAGUCAGCCUAUUGCUAAUGGUAAAUGAGAUUUAGCCUAAAGCUGCCUCCUUAAGUUCGGCCUGAAGUUUUCUCUGUACAUUGUGAACUAUAACAAAUGAAGGUGUAACAAGACCAAUCACCGAGUUUCGGUCAAUCAAAUGUAGCCAACUGCUCAAACUGUGUUCAAAUAAGGCAAACGCUGAGCUGUAACCAAUCCAGCUGUUUCUGUACCUCACUUCCGUUUUCUGUAUGCCACUUCCCUUUUUCUGUCCAUAAAUCUUCCACCACGUGGCCCUGCCAGAGUCUCUGAGCCUACUCUGGCUUGGAAGACUGCCCAAUUCACGAAUCGUUCAUUUGCUCAAUUAAACUCCUUUAAAUUUAUUCGGCUCAAGUUUUUCUUUUAACAGAAAUCAAGAGUCUGCCUGUGUUCCAAUUAUUUAUGGACACUAAAAUUUGAAUAUGUGUUUCAAGUAUUCCUUUUCAAAUUUUAUUAAAAAUGUAAAAACCAUUCUCAGUUCGCAGGCCACAAUCACAGGCCAUGGGUUGAAUUUGGCUCAAAAGCUGUAGUUUGCCAAGCCCUGUUCUAAGCUAACAGUUGGGGAAUCAUAAUAUAAAAGGAAGGACAGACCUGGGUGUGAAAUAGCUGCAAAAAUAUUAUCUCGGGCUGGGCGCAGUGGUUAUUGCCUGUAAUCCCAGCACUUUGGUAGGCUGAGGCAGGCCCAUAGCUUGAGGCCAGCAGUUCAAGACCAGCCUGGCCAACGUGGCAAAACCCCAUCUCUACUAAAAAUACAAAAAUUAAUUAGCCAGGUGUGGUGGUGAACACCUGUAAUCCCAGCUACUCGGGAGGCUGAGACAUGAGACUCACUUGAAUCCAGGAGAUGGAGGUUGCAGUGAGCCAAGAUUGUACCACUGCACUCCAGCCUAGGUGACAGAGUAAGAGUUUGUCUCCUAAAUAAAUAAAUAUUAUCUUGAUAAAAUAGUUGUUAGGAUUACAAAGAGUACUUAAAUAAUAGUACCUAGAACAUUGCCUCAAACUUAGUAGGUGCUCAAUAAAAGAAAGAUAUUAUUUUUGUUGAGUGGAUGUAUGAACACAACACUGAUUAUCUAUUGCUGGGCAACGUGAAUAGCCUAGAAGAAACAAUAGUCACAGUUACAUUGUACUUAUAUGUCAAGGAACUGUUCUAAGUGCUUUACAUGUUUUAACACAUUUAAUCUUGAUUAAAUCCUAUAAAAUCGGAACUACUAUUAUUGGCAUCUUAAGAAAACUGUGGACAGAAGGGGAAAUUAAGUUGUUUGAGGGCACAUGGUAAGAGGUGCAGAUGGGAUUCCCACCCAGGCUGUCUGAUUCCAAAGUCCAUGCUUGUCACCACUAAGCUGUUUUCUGCAAGGUUAAAAAUAAUAUAGAGC
This 4016-nucleotide long non-coding RNA is filed under the name Homo sapiens (human). RNAcentral's name for it is "HSALNT0150062". Lineage: Eukaryota; Metazoa; Chordata; Mammalia; Primates; Hominidae. The record is from RNAcentral.